This 1127-nucleotide small RNA is filed under the name Pongo abelii (Sumatran orangutan). Its description in RNAcentral is "sense intronic". Lineage: Eukaryota; Metazoa; Chordata; Mammalia; Primates; Hominidae. The record is from RNAcentral.
GAAAGCUUGUCAACUUAGCUGCUACACACCUUGGCAUAUUUCAACUUCUUCCCAAUCGAUCUUCGGUCUCGUUCUCUGAAACUUGUAAAAUUGUGGUAAGAUCUAUAUAACAUUAAAACUGGCCAUUUUAACCUUUUUCUUUAUUUCUUUGAGACGGAGUCUCGCUCUGUUGCCCAGGCUGGAUGGAGUGCAAUGGCGUGAUCUCGGCUCACUGCAACCUCCUCCCCUCAGGGUCAAGUGAUUCUCCUGCCUCAGCCUGGAGAGUAGCUGGGAUUACAGGCGUGCGCCAUCACGCCCGGCUAAUUUUGGUAUUUUUAGUAGAGACGGGGUUUCGACAUGUUAGCCGGGCUAAUCUCGAACUCCUGACCUCAGAUGAUCCAUCCGCCUCGGCCUCCCAAAGUGCUGGGAUUACAGGCAUGAGCCACUGCGCCUGGCCUCAUUUUAACCUUUUAUUUUUUUGAGACGGAGUCUUGCUUUGUGGCCCAGGCUGGAGUGCAGUGGCGCCAUCUGGUCUCACUGCAAGCUCCGCCUCCCGGGUUCACACCAUUCUCCUGCCUCAGCCUCCCGAGUAACUGGGACUACAGGCGCCCGCUACCACGCCUGGCUAAUUUUUUGUAUUUUUUUUCUUUUUUUUUUUUUUUAAUAGGGACGGGGUUUCACCGUUGUUAGCCAGGAUGGUCUCGAUCUUCUGACCUCGUGAUCCGCCCGCCUCGGCUUCCUAAAGUGCUGGAAUUACAGGUGUGAGCCACCGCGCCCUGCCUCAUUUUAACCAUUUUUAAGUGUACAAUUCAGUGACAAAUUAGUUACAUUUCCUGUUGUGCAACUAUCACUGCUGUUUCCAAAACUGUUGCAUCAUCAUAAACAAAAACUCUGUACUCAUUAAGCAGUAACUCCUCAUUUCUCCUCCCUCUAGCCCCUGCUCACAUCUAAGCCACUUUCUGUAUCUGAGUUUGCCUGUUCUAGAUAUUUCAUAUAACUGGAAUCGUUCAAUGUUUGUCCCUUUGUGCCUGGUUUCUUUCACUUAGCAUAGUGUUUUCAAGGUUCAUUCAUGUUGUAGCAUGUGUCAGAACUUUAUUCCUUUUAUGGGGCUGAAUAAUAUUCCAUUGGGUGGAUGUGCCACAUUUUGU